Molecule: ribosomal RNA, 361 nt
Filed under: uncultured bacterium
Lineage: Bacteria
Description: bacterial SSU rRNA
Rfam family: Bacterial small subunit ribosomal RNA
Source: RNAcentral
AGCGAACGCUGGCGGCAGGCUUAACACAUGCAAGUCGAACGGGCGUAGCAAUACGUCAGUGGCAGACGGGUGAGUAACGCGUGGGAACGUACCUUUUGGUUCGGAACAACCCAGGGAAACUUGGGCUAAUACCGGAUAAGCCCUUACGGGGAAAGAUUUAUCGCCGAAAGAUCGGCCCGCGUCUGAUUAGCUUGUUGGUGAGGUAACGGCUCACCAAGGCGACGAUCAGUAGCUGGUCUGAGAGGAUGAUCAGCCACAUUGGGACUGAGACACGGCCCAAACUCCUACGGGGAGGCAGCAGUGGGGAAUAUUGGGACAAUGGGCGGCAAGCCUGAUCCAGCCAUGCCGCGUGAGUGAUGAA